This 425-nucleotide ribosomal RNA is filed under the name uncultured bacterium. Its description in RNAcentral is "bacterial SSU rRNA". It matches the Rfam family "Bacterial small subunit ribosomal RNA", at positions 356 to 773 of the family's 1533-position model. The record is from RNAcentral.
AGGGAAUUUUCCACAAUGGACGAAAGUCUGAUGGAGCAACGCCGCGUGAACGAUGAAGGUCUUCGGAUUGUAAAGUUCUGUUGUCAGGGACGAACAAGUACCGUUCGAACAGGGCGGUACCUUGACGGUACCUGACGAGAAAGCCACGGCUAACUACGUGCCAGCAGCCGCGGUAAUACGUAGGUGGCAAGCGUUGUCCGGAUUUAUUGGGCGUAAAGCGCGCGCAGGCGGCUAUGUAAGUCUGGUGUUAAAGCCCGGGGCUCAACCCCGGUUCGCAUCGGAAACUGUGUAGCUUGAGUGCAGAAGAGGAGAGUGGAAUUCCACGUGUAGCGGUGAAAUGCGUAGAGAUGUGGAGGAACACCAGUGGCGAAGGCGGCUUUCUGGUCUGUAACUGACGCUGAGGCGCGAAAGCGUGGGGAGCAAAC